This 265-nucleotide ribosomal RNA is filed under the name uncultured archaeon. RNAcentral's name for it is "partial 16S ribosomal RNA". It matches the Rfam family "Archaeal small subunit ribosomal RNA", at positions 717 to 982 of the family's 1478-position model. The record is from RNAcentral.
ACACGACUACAUUAGAUACCCCUGUAGUCCCAGCCCUAAACGAUGCGCGUUAGGUGUAUCGGUGACCACGAGUCACCGAGGUGCCGAAGGGAAACCGUGAAACGUGCCGCCUGGGAAGUACGGUCGCAAGGCUGAAACUUAAGGAAUUGGCGGGGGAGCACCACAACGGGUGGAGCCUGCGGUUUAAUUGGACUCAACGCCGGGAAGCUCACCGGAUAAGACAGCGGAAUGAUUGCCGGGCUGAAGACCCUGCAUGACCAGUCUG